AUACGUAGGUGGCAAGCGUUGUCCGGAUUUACUGGGUGUAAAGGGAGCGCAGGCGGGGAAGCAAGUCAGUUGUGAAAACUAUGGGCUUAACUCAUAGAUUGCAGGUGAAACUGUUUCUCUUGAGUGGAGUAGAGGUAAGCGGAAUUCCGAGUGUAACGGGGAAAUGUGUAGAGAUUCGGAGGAACACCAGUGGCGAAGGCGGCUUACUGGGCUCUAACUGACGCUGAGGCUCGAAAGUGUGGGGAGCAAACAGGAUUAGAUACCCUGGUAGUCCACACUGUAAACGAUGAUUACUAGGUGUGGGGGGUCUGACCCCUUCCGUGCCACAGUUAACGCAAUAAGUAAUCCACCUGGGGAGUACGACCGCAAGGUUGAAACUCAAAUGAAUUGGCGGGG
RNAcentral lists this ribosomal RNA (396 nucleotides) under uncultured bacterium. Its description in RNAcentral is "partial 16S ribosomal RNA". It matches the Rfam family "Bacterial small subunit ribosomal RNA", at positions 523 to 918 of the family's 1533-position model. The record is from RNAcentral.